This 490-nucleotide ribosomal RNA is filed under the name uncultured bacterium. Its description in RNAcentral is "partial 16S ribosomal RNA". It matches the Rfam family "Bacterial small subunit ribosomal RNA", at positions 29 to 507 of the family's 1533-position model. The record is from RNAcentral.
AAUGAACGCUGGCGGCAGGCCUAACACAUGCAAGUCGAACGGUAACAGGAAACAGCUUGCUGUUUCGCUGACGAGUGGCGGACGGGUGAGUAAUGUCUGGGAAACUGCCUGAUGGAGGGGGAUAACUACUGGAAACGGUAGCUAAUACCGCAUAACGUCGCAAGGCCAAAGAGGGGGACCCUCGGGCCUCUUGCCAUCGGAUGUGCCCAGAUGGGAUUAGCUUGUUGGUGGGGUAACGGCUCACCAAGGCGACGAUCCCUAGCUGGUCUGAGAGGAUGACCAGCCACACUGGAACUGAGACACGGUCCAGACUCCUACGGGAGGCAGCAGUGGGGAAUAUUGCACAAUGGGCGCAAGCCUGAUGCAGCCAUGCCGCGUGUAUGAAGAAGGCCUUCGGGUUGUAAAGUACUUUCAGCGGGGAGGAAGGGAGUAAAGUUAAUACCUUUGCUCAUUGACGUUACCCGCAGAAGAAGCACCGGCUAACUCCGUG